UACACUUUUUACAAUCUCUUCUGAAACAAAACAAAGCAGAAAUUAAACUUAAUUCACAGAUCUUACAAAAUAACAGAAUUUGGGAUUAACUAUAUAGCUAAUUAAUAUUACAAAAACAUUAAUUAAUAAUAUGAAACUAAAUCUCGAAAAGGAAAAAAAUCACUCUCUCCGUUAAUUCUUGCAGACAAAAAGAGAGAGAGAGAGAGAGAUCUGUAUUAUAUUUAUCAUUAAAAAGAAAGAAAGAAGGAAAGAAAUUACUUGUUUUGUAUGGGAUUAGAAACACUUGGAGGUGCUUUCCUUAAGCUUUGCUCCACAGCUUUCUUGGCCUCUUUUACUGCUCCAUUAUUACUAAUUAUCGAUCUUCUGUUAGAAGCCAUUAAUGGAAGUAACUUCAAUAGCUUUCUUGGCAGAUUAAUAUUUCUUUGAUGAUAUAUGGGAACGCCAUUGCUAUAAUUGGCAGUGCUUUCUUCACGGCAAAGACAUAAAGAAUUGGUUGUAAUUCCGAUGUGAACAAGAACCAGAAAGGCCAAAAUGAUCUUCAUUGAAAUGAUUACUCAGUGAAGUGAAAGAAUACCGUGAAGGACAGAGAAAGAUUGAGAAGAAGGUGUAAAAGAUGGAAUAGGUUUAUAUGGGCAACGUGCAUGCGUGUUUGAUCCACGUGGUAUAUGAUGAGCUCCUCUCCUCAUCAUAUCAUAUCAUAUAAUAUAUAUUUUUCCAUUUAAAGAAUAAUUAUAAUUUUUUCAUUUUGUUACCAAUUUUAGGAGUUUGGCAUUAGUAACAUUUUAUUUUAAGGGUAUUUCUAUAUCCU
Molecule: long non-coding RNA, 808 nt
Filed under: Jatropha curcas
Lineage: Eukaryota; Viridiplantae; Streptophyta; Magnoliopsida; Malpighiales; Euphorbiaceae
Description: long non-coding RNA (JCUR_LNC002962)
Source: RNAcentral